This 485-nucleotide long non-coding RNA is filed under the name Sorghum bicolor (sorghum). RNAcentral describes it as "long non-coding RNA (SBIC_LNC018291)". Lineage: Eukaryota; Viridiplantae; Streptophyta; Magnoliopsida; Poales; Poaceae. The record is from RNAcentral.
CCGCCGGUCACGCGUCCGCCAGUCGUCGGCCCGCCCAAGGGCCCCGUCACGCGCCCGCCGGUCACGCGUCCGCCGGUCGUCGGACCACCGGUGACCUACCCGCCGAUCAUCGGCCCACCGGUCACGCGUCCGCCGGUCGUCGGGCCACCGGUGACCUACCCGCCGAUUACCGGCCCUCCGACGACGCCGCCGGUCGUCGGCCCACCGGUCACCUACCCGCCGAUCACCGGCCCUCCGUCAACCACGCCUCCGAUCACCGGCCCGCCGUCGACGACGCCCCCAGUCACCGGUCCGCCCGUGACCUACCCGCCCGGCGGAGGCGGCGGCAGCUCGACGCCGUGCCCGCCGCCGCCACCGCCAUCUACCCCGACCCCGACGCCGUCGUCGCCGACGUGCCCGGCGGACUCGCUGAAGCUGGGCGCGUGCGUAGACCUGCUGGGCGGGCUGGUGCACAUCGGCCUGGGCGACCCGGUGGUGAACAAGUG